RNAcentral lists this long non-coding RNA (202 nucleotides) under Elaeis guineensis (African oil palm). RNAcentral's name for it is "long non-coding RNA (EGUI_LNC038467)". Lineage: Eukaryota; Viridiplantae; Streptophyta; Magnoliopsida; Arecales; Arecaceae. The record is from RNAcentral.
GCAAGCUAGCAUUUCCAAUGACUCUGACUGCACCGAUCUUUGCAUGAACUUUCUAUAGAGGCCAGAUGACUUCGUGUAGCUACGAGCAAUCUGAAGGAGAGCCUCUCCAAUUGUUGGAUCAAAAGAGAUCAAAAGACUUCAAUUUGGUAAUGGUUUCUAAACUUUCUUGAUCUUGUAUGUUGGAUCUAAUGGUUAGAUCUCA